This 451-nucleotide ribosomal RNA is filed under the name bacterium NC2003. Its description in RNAcentral is "bacterial SSU rRNA". It matches the Rfam family "Bacterial small subunit ribosomal RNA", at positions 28 to 478 of the family's 1533-position model. The record is from RNAcentral.
GAUGAACGCUGGCGGCGUGCUUAACACAUGCAAGUCGAACGAAGCACUUUCUUACGAUCCCUUCGGGGUGACGAGUUAGUGACUGAGUGGCGGACGGGUGAGUAACGCGUGGGUAACCUGCCUUAUACAGGGGGAUAACAGUUGGAAACGGCUGCUAAUACCGCAUAAGCGCACAGUACCGCAUGGUACAGUGUGAAAAACUCCGGUGGUAUAAGAUGGACCCGCGUCUGAUUAGCUAGUUGGUGAGGUAACGGCCCACCAAGGCGACGAUCAGUAGCCGAUCUGAGAGGAUGAACGGCCACAUUGGGACUGAGACACGGCCCAGACUCCUACGGGAGGCAGCAGUGGGGAAUAUUGCACAAUGGGCGAAAGCCUGAUGCAGCGACGCCGCGUGAGUGAUGAAGUAUUUCGGUAUGUAAAGCUCUAUCAGCAGGGAAGAUAAUGACGGUAC